AUUGAACGCUGGCGGAAUGCUUUACACAUGCAAGUCGAGCGGCAGCACGGGGGCAACCCUGGUGGCGAGCGGCGAACGGGUGAGUAAUACAUCGGAACAUGCCCAGUCGUGGGGGAUAACACUUCGAAAGAAGUGCUAAUACCGCAUACGUCCUGAGGGGGAAAGCGGGGGAUCGCAAGACCUCGCGCGAUUGGAGUGGCCGAUGUCAGAUUAGCUAGUUGGUGGGGUAAAGGCCUACCAAGGCAACGAUCUGUAGCUGGUCUGAGAGGAUGAUCAGCCACACGGGGACUGAGACACGGCCCAGACUCCUACGGGAGGCAGCAGUGGGGAAUUUUGGACAAUGGGGGCAACCCUGAUCCAGCCAUUCCGCGUGAGUGAAGAAGGCCUUCGGGUUGUAAAGCUCUUUCGGCAGGAACGAAACGGUGAGCUCUAACAUAGCUUGCUAAUGACGGUACUGAAGAAGAAGCACCGGCUAACUACGUG
Molecule: ribosomal RNA, 483 nt
Filed under: uncultured bacterium
Lineage: Bacteria
Description: partial 16S ribosomal RNA
Rfam family: Bacterial small subunit ribosomal RNA
Source: RNAcentral